This 915-nucleotide long non-coding RNA is filed under the name Homo sapiens (human). Its description in RNAcentral is "non-protein coding lnc-PKN3-1:3". The record is from RNAcentral. Lineage: Eukaryota; Metazoa; Chordata; Mammalia; Primates; Hominidae.
GAAGAUCCAGCGGCUUGCUGUGAGUCCGGGAGGCAAAAUUGUACCCAUUUCAAAGAUGUGAUGACUAAAGUCUCGAGAGGGCCAAGGCUCGCCCAAGGUUGCUCUGUGGUGACAGCUUUACCUCCUUGCUAUGUAUUCUCAGAUAUUGCAAACGGACGAGAGAAAAGUGGAGGUACGUGGUGCACAUUCUGACUAUGGGUGAUCCAACUUAGGCGGGAGUCAGAAAUCCCAGCACUGCCCCUUCCUACCUGUGUGACCCUGGGCGAGUUACUGAGCCCCUCUGAGCUGUUUUCUGUCUCUAUAAGGGGGAUUACAAUAGUGUCUUCCUCCUAAGGUGUUUGGGAGGAUUAAAUAAUGGAAGCGCCUUGUCUAGCACGGGACUGUCUUGCCUCUCCUGCUGUGAGCCACCACCUACAGGCGGACUUUCCUCACCGGAGGCUGCAGGCUGUCCUCCUUCCCUGUGUCCCCAGGGCCUUCUCCACUCAGCCCCGCCUUUCCACAGCACCUCCCACUGAUACCAGCAUCCUCCUCCGCCUCCCUCUGAUUGGCCCCAUCCCAGCUCCUCCAGGAUACUCCUCUGACAUCUGUUGUUUUUCUCAGCUCAACAUCCUUUUUUUGGUUGGGGAAUCGACUUCCCAUCCCAUGUGAUUGGAGGGACUGCCCCUCACCCCAUAGGAUGGCGAGCGGCAGGCUGUGGGCUUUCGACUCUGCAGAACCAAUCACAGGCCUUCCAUGAGAUUACUGUCUAGAUGCUGAGAGGAAGGAGCAUUCUUUUGGAUCUCAAGCCUAAGGAAUGGGAUAUAAGGCAACUGGGAGCCGUCUUUACGCUGGGCGGAGAGGGCUUACCCUGUCUGUGGCUGGAGAAAAUGAGACCAACUUAUAAAGACACAUAGAGAUGGAUAAGCAGCACUAAAG